UAGAUUCUUCUACCAAUUUGGAGUGGGGGCCGGGGGAUUCAGAAGCAGUACUUGGGAGUGUCUUUCCAUCUAGAAGUACAUUGGUAGGAAGAAGGCUAAGAUUCAGGUCUGGAACAAGAAGCAGGUUGGGAAUAUACCUCUCUGAGAGGAGCCAGUGCAGAGCAUCUUCAAAGUCACACCACUUUCACCCAGGCUCUGCCUGCCUCUGCCUUCAAGUCCAGGGAAUAAUGCCCCAAAGGAAGCAUAGAUAGAAAAUACAUUGAAAAUAAAGUCAGUGUGGGUGACUUGGCCUUGGGUCACAAUCUGUUUGCUUCCAACUUGGCCUAUGAUCCCCUCACACCACCUUCAUCAGUUGGACGGCAGCGCCAUCUUAACCCAGAUUUCUUAAUGACGUAUUUCCUGUUCUGAUCCCACGUGAAGAAAUGACGGUUAUCCUGGAUUGCUUUGCAAGGAGCCAGAAAUGCUACCGUCUGACCACAGAGUUCACUAUUGGGACAGCACAAAUAAAGCCCGGUGCUGGGACAUGGUUGACUCGCAGAGGGUGUUGUUUAUGAGAGCGCUGUAAGCAGUGAUCAGAGGAUGACAGGAGAGAGUUAUAAAAAGAACUAUGUGUAGUCAUUUGGGGUGGAGAGAUGAGAAAAAUCUAACUGUGGAGCCCCUACAGAACAUAACUCAUCUUCAAAUACACGAAGAUGCUUCAACAAGUUGAAGCUUUAAAGUCAAAGGAAAACCAAACACAGACUGAUACAGCCCUGAGGAGGAAGACGGGAAGACUUGUGCUUUUUUAUUCUGUGCCUGGAAUAGCCUCAGAAAUGAGUGCCACCCUGCUCUGCCUGAGCUAAGCCACAAGGAUGUGCCUCACAGGAUCUGGGGUGAGAGGCACAAGCCAGCUCUCAGCAGAAGAAAUCUCAUUCUGAAGCCUGGGAGGCUGCGGCUGAUGAGAGAGCUGGCUUUCAAGAAAGCCAGUUACCUGGGACCACUGCUGCUUCCGUGGUACCCCAUGAGGGGAGCUACCAUGCUGUGUCCCAGGGAGAGAGCUUGGCUAAAGACACAGAGGUUUCACAUGAGCCAGAGACCAUCAUGUAUAUCCUUUAUGGACCCUGUCAAGCCCCCUGCAUAGAAGAAGUGCUCAAGAAUUCAAUUUCUACUUGAAACAGUGCUGCUGUAAGUGCAAUAACUAUGUCUUGCCCCCAUGUUACACACAUUCAAGUAUCCACCAACAAAAUGC
Molecule: long non-coding RNA, 1228 nt
Filed under: Chinchilla lanigera (long-tailed chinchilla)
Lineage: Eukaryota; Metazoa; Chordata; Mammalia; Rodentia; Chinchillidae
Description: lncRNA (ENSCLAG00000024266.1)
Source: RNAcentral